GGGGUUUAUAUCCGCACAUCCAGGUGGUAGAACCACUUCUGUUUCAAAGAUGGACUGGGGAAAGACAUUAAGUUUGGAGCAGCUCAGUGCUACGGAUCUAGCCUCUCUCCCUCGGGUCUCCAGACUCACUUGGUCCAAGCUGCGGAGCAGGGACAGCGGAGCUCAGGCGGCCACGUUCAGGCCCAGCCACCAGUUCUCAGAACUUUCCUGGGACUAUUAUGUUUCUCCUUGGCUCAAGUGGUCACCUCUCAGAAAAAUGAUUCAUGGAAAAUUCAUAUCUAGAACCAGAGAGAAACCUACUCCCAGAAGAACAUCUCCCUGUAUUGCUUUCCCACUGCUGUGGAGUGUCUUGAACACUGGUCCCUGGACACCAACUUCAAGAAGACUUCAUGGAUGGCUGUCCAGUCUUAUGAGCCACAGUUUCCCCUCUACAUUUUCUUCACUCCAGCAAGGCUCUUAUCAGGGUCAGAUCAGAGAUGAACCAGCUGGACGACAGAUUGGAGCGCUGACCUCUUAG
This 517-nucleotide long non-coding RNA is filed under the name Mus spicilegus (steppe mouse). RNAcentral's name for it is "lncRNA (ENSMSIG00000007833.1)". The record is from RNAcentral. Lineage: Eukaryota; Metazoa; Chordata; Mammalia; Rodentia; Muridae.